Molecule: ribosomal RNA, 274 nt
Filed under: uncultured bacterium
Lineage: Bacteria
Description: partial 16S ribosomal RNA
Rfam family: Bacterial small subunit ribosomal RNA
Source: RNAcentral
AUACGGAGGGUGCAAGCGUUAAUCGGAAUUACUGGGCGUAAAGCGCGCGUAGGCGGCUUGGUCAGUUGGGUGUGAAAGCCCCGGGCUUAACCUGGGAACUGCAUUCAAUACUGCCAGGCUAGAGUAUGAUAGAGGGGGGUAGAAUUCCUAGUGUAGCGGUGAAAUGCGUAGAUAUUAGGAGGAAUACCAGUGGCGAAGGCGGCCCCCUGGAUUACUACUGACGCUGAGGUGCGAAAGCGUGGGGAGCAAACAGGAUUAGAAACCCCAGUAGUCC